Long non-coding RNA from Lynx canadensis (Canada lynx), 293 nucleotides. RefSeq lists it as uncharacterized. The record is from RefSeq and is a predicted model, not a curated record. The transcript is spliced from 3 exons. NCBI's taxonomy places the organism in Eukaryota, Metazoa, Chordata, Mammalia, Carnivora, Felidae.
GCAGAGAGUAGACCCCUUGGGAGAGCACCCCCCUGGAAGCCAGGACCACACAGAGAAACCCAUGCCCAGGAGAAGACGGCAAAAGCCUGGACCCAAGGCAAGGGUGGCCAAGGACCUGGCUUCUAGCAGAAGCACGGUGCUGCCGGACACCUCUCUGGACGGGGAAGGUCUGAGAUCCAUCUGGAAGAGCGUUUCUCAAAUCAAGAGAUGCUACUCGGAGAAAGGGUUUCACAGCCAAGCAGGGCCUGCAAGAGUCCCGGACCCAGGUCUCUAAGAGGCACUUAGCAGUUGUC